UGUUAACCGCCCCACACCCUCACAA
RNAcentral lists this non-coding RNA (25 nucleotides) under Rattus norvegicus (Norway rat). The record is from RNAcentral. Lineage: Eukaryota; Metazoa; Chordata; Mammalia; Rodentia; Muridae.